CUCCUUAGGGACUUUGUUCAAGGCCUCGGGAUACUUCUCGUGGCUGGUUAGGAUCCAAAUAAAAUGGCCUCCUUCUAAGGGAUCUUUGGUAUUUGCUCCCCGAAUGGGCCUCUGGCCCCUUAAAAAAAAUUCACCUCCCGGGCCAGUCCCAGAUGCUUGACAUUCCUCUUUGGCAAAAGGAAUUCUCCUUUGGAGCCUGCACUUUUAAAUGCAAAUCACCUGGGGGUGGGGAGGGCUGGGGGUGCACUGUACUUGGUUUGCUCGGGGUGAGCAGUGACUUCUUGCACGAAUCUAACACAAAAUGAAAACUGUCUCCUUGCAGGCCUUCCUUCCUUGUACUGGGGACCGUGAGCACCGUACUCCGUGGUUGGAGAAUAAUUGCACUUGGUGCCACGUUUCCGGGUAUUUGCAAGGGGAUUGAAAAAUGCAAUGAUUUUAAGGUGCAACGAUUUCAAGGUGAAGUUCAAUUUUUGCAUCUACCGUCUCAGCUGCCGAACUAGGUACCAGGGAUACAAAGAGAAGGUUCCCCUGGACUAAGGUGCAGGGCAUCCGAGGCGCCCAGGGCGACUCUAGUGUAAAUAGGGAGUGCCAGGAGAGAAUCCUGCAGAGCUGCGCCAGGUCUUGGGGGCUGGGGAAGGGAGUCUGGGUAGGCUUCAUGGAAGAGGUGACCUGUAAGCUGAGGCCCUGAAAGAGAAGUGAGCCAGCCCUGGGGGAACAGGAUGGGGGAGCCUCCGGGAGCAGGAACUGGGUUAACAAAGACCCAGGGUGGAGGUGGGGGUGCCAUGCUCGUGGCGGCCAUGGCCCUGCCUGUGUUCUUCACGUCUGGCUCCCUUCCAGAAAGGCUGCCUCGGGAGGGUAGCUGGCUGACAGUUUCCAGAUCCCUCACUUUCAGGCUCCACCAUUGCAUAUUUAUUACAUAUUUUUUCUGGGUCUGUUCUCAACCAAUGACAGAGCACAGCAUUUGCACCGGAGCUGAACCGUUUUUCUUUCGGAUGUGGAAUUCCCUAAUGCAUCAUGUUUCCCCGGGAGGACUCCGUGGGCCUCAUCAGGACUUUUCGCAGAGCCCCGCGCUCCGAUCCAGGGCCCCUCCUCUUCCAUUCUUCCUUCAUUCUUCUUCCCCUUCCACAGGCGUCCGAAUGCGCCUGGCCUGCCCCCUCGGCCCCGAAUCCAUCGGAGGCAUUUCCCUGCAUAUAAAUUUCACAUGCAUUUAA
This 1211-nucleotide long non-coding RNA is filed under the name Marmota monax (woodchuck). Lineage: Eukaryota; Metazoa; Chordata; Mammalia; Rodentia; Sciuridae. The record is from RNAcentral.